GACAGAGGGUGCAAACGUUGUUCGGAAUUACUGGGCGUAAAGAGCGUGUAGGCGGCCCGGUAAGUCCGCUGUGAAAGUCGGGGGCUCAACCCUCGAAUGCCGGUGGAUACUGUCGGGCUAGAGUGCGGAAGAGGCGAGUGGAAUUCCUGGUGUAGCGGUGAAAUGCGCAGAUAUCAGGAGGAACACCGAUUGCGAAGGCAGCUCGCUGGGACGUAACUGACGCUGAGACGCGAAAGCGUGGGGAGCAAACAGG
This 253-nucleotide ribosomal RNA is filed under the name uncultured bacterium. RNAcentral describes it as "partial 16S ribosomal RNA". It matches the Rfam family "Bacterial small subunit ribosomal RNA", at positions 524 to 776 of the family's 1533-position model. The record is from RNAcentral.